Molecule: ribosomal RNA, 446 nt
Filed under: uncultured bacterium
Lineage: Bacteria
Description: bacterial SSU rRNA
Rfam family: Bacterial small subunit ribosomal RNA
Source: RNAcentral
GCCAGACUCCUACGGGAGGCAGCAGUGGGGAAUAUUGCACAAUGGGGGAAACCCUGAUGCAGCGACGCCGCGUGAGUGAAGAAGUAUUUCGGUAUGUAAAGCUCUAUCAGCAGGGAAGAAAAUGACGGUACCUGAUUAAGAAGCCCCGGCUAACUACGUGCCAGCAGCCGCGGUAAUACGUAGGGGGCAAGCGUUAUCCGGAUUUACUGGGUGUAAAGGGAGCGUAGACGGUGAUGCAAGUCAGAAGUGAAAGCCCGGGGCUCAACUCCGGGACUGCUUUUGAAACUGUGUGACUGGAGUGCAGGAGAGGUAAGCGGAAUUCCUGGUGUAGCGGUGAAAUGCGUAGAUAUCAGGAGGAACACCAGUGGCGAAGGCGGCUUACUGGACUGUAACUGACGUUGAGGCUCGAAAGCGUGGGGAGCAAACAGGAUUAGAUACCCGAGUAU